AGCUAGCAGAACUAAUUGGCAGAUUUAUUGUGUAUAGCUAUCUAUAACUAGUUGCCAUGUAUUAUAGCUAAUUUCCUUGUAAUGUACAGGUGUCUAUAGCUAACUUCUCUGCACGGUUUUUCUAUUUAAUGAGAUUCUCAUAGAGAUGAGAGAUUAUUCAGUCAAUUUGACAUGGUAUCAGAGCCUAUGUUAUGAAUUUGGUCAUUAACGCUUUCUUCUUUCGGUUUUCUCUAGUUUUAGUCCAAAGGGCUCUUGGUGUUCUAUAUUUCUGAGUCUCGGUAGAGCCUUAUGUUUUCUAGAUUCUGAAUUCUUGGUAAAGUUCUCUAGUUUUCUGGUUUCUAGCUUUCUUGGAGUUCUUUUUCUGGUGUUCUUUCUUUUGGUCAUAAUGUCUACAUAAGCCUUUUGUGUUCGUUUCACUGGGAAGAACUACUCUGCUUGGGAGUUUCAGUUCAAGAUGUUUAUCAAAGGCAGGGAGCUUUGGGAUCAUAUUGAUGGCUCUUCUAAAGCACCAACUGAUGCUAAGGAAUUUGCUCAAUGGGAGACCAAGGAUGCUCGGAUUAUUUCUUGGAUUUUGGGGUCCAUUGAGCCGCAUAUGGUGAACAAUCUGCGGUCCUUUAACACCGCCAAGGAGAUGUGGGAUUAUUUGAAGCGCAUCUACAACCAAGACAACAAUGCAAGGCGGUUUCAGUUGGAGUUGGAGAUUGCAAAUUACAGCCAAGGUAAUCUUUCCAUUCAGGAGUAUUAUUCUGGUUUUCUUAAUCUGUGGAACGAGUAUUCCGGAAUCAUUCAUGCUAAGGUGGCAAAAGAAGCCUUGUCCGCUAUUCAAGAGGUUCAUGCAACCAGCAAACGUGAUCAAUUUUUGAUGAAACUUAGGCCAGAAUUUGAAUUUACUAGGGCUGCGCUAUUAAACAGAGAUCUUGUUCCCUCUUUGGAUGUGUGUCUUGGUGAAUUGCUUCGUGAGGAGCAACGGACUCUUACCCAGGCUGUUAUGGCACAAGAGAAGCUGUCCUCAGAUGUUGUGAAUGUUGCAUAUGCUACUCAAGGGAAGGGAAAGGGCAAGGACAAGGUCCAGUGCUAUUGCUGCAAGGAAUUCGGCCAUAUUGCUCGCAACUGCAAUAAGAAAUUCUACACUUACUGUAAGCAGUCCGGGCACAUCAUUAAGGAGUGUCCUACGCGACCUCAGAAUCGCCGAGCCAAUGCUUUUCAAGCUGCGGUCAGUUCUUCUACUUCUGUGGAUCAGUCCGCAAGAAUCGCAUCUGCUGCAGACACAUCAACAGGUCCUAACCAAGUUGUUCUUACUCCAAAGAUGGUGCAACAGAUGAUUAUCUCGGCCUUUUCAGCAUUGGGACUUCAAGGUAAUGGUAAAACAAUUUCUCAUCCUUGGUUUGUUGAUUCUAGAGCAUCAAAUCACAUGACUGGCUGUUCUAAUUUUCUGCAUAAUGUUCGGUCCUAUAACGGUACACAACACAUUCAAAUUGCUAAUGGAAGUAAUCUUCCUAUUACUGCUAUUGGAGAUCUUAGUUCACCUUUCCGCAAUGUGUUUGUGUCACCUGGACUCUCUACUAGUUUGAUUUCAGUUGGUCAAUUGGUUGAUAACAACUGUGAUGUGCAUUUUUCUCGAAAUGGUUGUCAGGUUCAGGAUCAAGUGUCGGGAAAAUGAUCGCGAAGGGGCCUAAAGUUGGAAGAUUGUUUCCUCUGCAUUUUACUCUUCCAAGUCUAUUGUCUUUGGCUUGUACUGCUGCAACAAAUCAGAGUGAGGUUUGGCAUAAACGCCUAGGCCAUCCUAACUCUCUUGUUUUGUCUCAUUUAGUGAAGCAUGGUUUUUUGGGCAAUAAAGAUCAGUUCUCUUCUUACAGCAUGUCUUUUGAUUGUACUGCUUGUAAACUUGGAAAAAGCAAAACUCUAUCUUUUCCUAAUCAUGGUAGUCGAGCUGAAAAAUGCUUCGAUAUUAUUCAUAGUGAUGUUUGGGGCAUUACUCCUAUAACUUCUCAUACCGGAUAUAAAUAUUUUGUGACGUUCAUUGAUGAUUAUAGUCGUUUCACUUGGGUGUAUUUUCUCCGCUCCAAAUCCGAAGUAUUUUCUAUUUUUCAGACCUUUGUGGCUUAUGUUGAGACUCAAUUCUCAACUUGUAUUAAAGUAUUAAGGUCUGACUCAGGCGGAGAAUAUAUGUCUCAUGACUUUCAGGGGUUCUUGCAUCAAAAAGGUAUAAUUUCUCAGCGAUCUUGUCCUUAUACACCUCAGCAAAAUGGUGUUGCUGAACGUAAGAAUCGCCAUCUGUUGGAUGUUGUUCGCACCUUGUUGCUUGAAUCCUCUGUUCCUCCUAAAUUUUGGGUUGAAGCUUUGUCUACUGUAGUUUAUUUGAUUAAUCGACUGCCUUCUCAAAUUUUGGACUUUGAUUCCUCUUAUUAUCGUCUCUAUGGCAAGCAUCCUGGUUAUAAUCAGUUUCAUACUUUUGGAUGUGUUUACUUUGUUCACUUAUCUGCUAAUGAACGUCACAAACUUGCUGCCCAGUCGGUUCAGUGUGCCUUUAUGGGUUAUGGUAUUGCUCAAAAGGGUUUUGUGUGUUAUGAUGCUGCUACUAAACGACUUUGUGUCUCUAGAAAUGUAGUUUUCUUUGACAAUCAAUAUUUCUUUCAGUCCAAUGUUGCCUCAUCUUCUGAUCUUGCCAUGCUUCCUAGCUUUGAUGAUAUAUAUCAUUCUAUUAAGCGCUUCAAACCAAAUAUUGUGUAUAAGAGACGUCAGCCACCUCAGCCCCUUUCCGAUACUGAUCCACCACCUGAGCCUGCAGUCCCUGCGCCUCGGAGGUCCACCAGAGCCUCCCAUCCACCAGAUAGGUAUGGAUUCUCCCAUACAUCACUCAAUGUGACUCUGUCUACUAUCACGAUUCCUACUUGUUAUUCCCAGGCAAUUAAGCAGGAAUGUUGGGUGAAGGCCAUGCAAGAUGAGCUUCAAGCUCUAUAAGAGAAUCACACUUGGGAUAUUGUUCCAUGUCCUUCUGAUGUUAAAUCCAUUGGUUGUAAAUGGGUGUAUUCUAUGAAGCUACGUCCUGAUGGGACUGUGGAAAGAUAUAAGGCUCGGUUGGUUGCUCUUGGUAAUAGACAGGAAUAUGGAGUAGAUUAUGAUGAGACUUUUGCUCCGGUGGCUAAAAUGACGACAAUACGGACAGUUCUUGCCAUUGUUGCUUCUAAAGGUUGGGCCCUACGACAAAUGGAUGUUAAGAAUGCUUUUCUGCAUGGUGAUCUCAAGGAGGAGAUUUUUAUGACACCUCCACUAGAUUUAUUCACUACACCAUCUUCUGAUGUGUGCAAGCUGAAGCGCUCUCUCUAUGGCUUGAAGCAGGCACCUCGUGCCUGGUUUGAUAAGUUUCGCUCCUCAUUACUUGGUUUUUCCUUUGUCCAAAGUCAGUAUGACUCUUCCUUGUUUCUCCGCAAGACUGAGAAUGGAAUUGUUCUUCUCCUGGUUUAUGUUGAUGAUAUAGUUAUUACAGGGAUAGAUUCUGUGUUGAUUCAGCAGCUUCAACAACACCUACAGGCUUCAUUUCACAUGAAGGAUCUUGGUUCUCUUCAAUAUUUUUUGGGCCUUGAGUUGAAGUCUGGACCUGCAGGUACUUUCUUGCACCAACAUAAGUAUACACAAGAUUUGAUUGCUUUGGCUGGACUUCAAGAUGCUUCUUCUGUUGACACACUUUUGGAGGUGAAUGUAAAGUAUCAUCGUGAGGAGGGCGAGCUUCUUUCUGAUCCCUCACUAUACCGACAGUUGGUUGGAAGUCUGAACUAUUUGACCAUAACUCGGCCUGAUAUUUCCUUCGCUGUUCAGCAAGUUAGUCAGUUUAUGCAGACUCCUCGACACCUUCAUUUGGCUGCCAUCUGUCGUAUCAUUCGCUAUCUGAGAAGCACUCUAGAUCGCGGCUUAUUCUUUCCUGCUGGUUCACCUAUUCAGUUGAGGGCAUACAGUGAUGCUGAUUGGGUUGGCUGUCCAGAUACGCGUCGCUCAGUUACGGGCUGAUGUAUGUUUCUUGGCAAUGCACUCAUUUCAUGGAAGAGUAAGAAAUUNNNNNNNNNNNNNNNNNNNNNNNNNNNNNNNNNNNNNNNNNNNNNNNNNNUUGCAUGUUCUGAGAUUAUUUAGCUUCGUGGAUUGUUGGCUGAGAUUGGAUUCCCUCAACUUGAGCCCACUUCGCUUCAUGCAAAUAACACUAGUGCAAUUCAGAUUGCGGCUAAUCCUAUCUUUCACGAGCACACCAAGCAUAUUGAGGUGGAUUGUCACUCUAUUCGUGAGGCUUAUGAUCGACGUGUUAUCACUCUUCCUCAUAUCACCACGGAUUUUCAGAUUGCUUAUGUGUUUACCAAGGCUAUGACUUGUCAACGUCAUAAGUUUCUAGUUGGCAAAUUGAUGCUUCUUGAUCACCCAGCAUCAAUUUGAGGGGGGAUGUUAAUAGGAUCUGCAGGAUCCUAUUUACAUAUGGUUUCCAUAGCAAAUCUAAUUACCUUUAUUUCCACAAUCUACUCAUUUCCUUUGUUAUUUCUAUUAACUAUGUAUAGCUUAGUCUUUCUAAUUUAGCUAGCAGAACUAAUUGGCAGAUUUAUUGUGUAUAGCUAUCUAUAACUAGUUGCCAUGUAUUAUAGCUAAUUUUCUUGUAAUGUACAGCUGUCUAUAGCUAACUUCUCUGCACGGUUUUUCUAUUUAAUGAGAUUCUCACAGAGAUGAGAGAUUAUUCAGUCAAUUAGACACCCAACACACCAAAAAAUAAAAGGCACCUGUAACCCCAAUGGAGUGUUGAUGAGGAUUUAGUAACUUAGAUUCAAAGACCAAGAGCAGUAGCUAUGACAAUGUUGGUGGUCAUGGAUUUGUCGACUAUAAAGAGAGUGGACAGGAGACCACUAUUUUUAAGACAGCUGCAGGGUGGUCUUCGAUUUACCAGUAUCUCAGUUUAUUCAUGCUACACAAGAUAGAGACCAUAAUAUACGAUCUGAUAGAGCCUACAAAGAUACGAUUGCAUAUAGGAGACGAGCUCCUCGAGGUCAUUCAGAAGGAUACGAUACAGCUAUAGAUGUGCUCGCACGUGGAGUAGAAUUUAUAGACAUAUCAAGUUUCGAGUCGUAUACUGGAUCAUAUUAUUCGUAGCUACAAGCAGCCUACGAUCCACACAGAUACGGAUAUGGAUAUGGUGCGUCUAAUGCAUAUUUCGAUGGAUACUAUUCUACGCAGCUCGGAGCAUCUUAUGAGAAGAAUUUUGCUACAGGUAUAUUCAGAUGGGCUCCUUCAUAGCCAUAUUAUCAGCCAGAGGACAUCUCUUAGAGCUAGAGCUUCAGCAAGAGAUUCAAAAGUGCUUAUAAUCUA
RNAcentral lists this long non-coding RNA (5337 nucleotides) under Phoenix dactylifera (date palm). Its description in RNAcentral is "long non-coding RNA (PDAC_LNC004039)". The record is from RNAcentral. Lineage: Eukaryota; Viridiplantae; Streptophyta; Magnoliopsida; Arecales; Arecaceae.